Molecule: ribosomal RNA, 786 nt
Filed under: uncultured bacterium
Lineage: Bacteria
Description: bacterial SSU rRNA
Rfam family: Bacterial small subunit ribosomal RNA
Source: RNAcentral
AGAGUUUGAUCAUGGCUCAGAACGAACGCUGGCGGCGUGCUUAACACAUGCAAGUCGAGUGCGCGUCCGUAGCAAUACGGAUGGCGCACGGCGCACGGGUGCGUAACACGUGGGCAAUCUGCCCUUCGAUGGGGAAUAACUCCGGGAAACCGAAGCUAAUUCCGCAUAACAUUCCUUGGACCUCGGUUCGAGGACUCAAAGCCGUAAGGCGUCGAAGGAGGAGCCCGCGCCCGAUUAGCUAGUUGGUGAGGUAACGGCUCACCAAGGCAAUGAUCGGUAGCUGGUCUGAGAGGAUGGCCAGCCACACUGGAACUGAGACACGGUCCAGACUCCUACGGGAGGCAGCAGUGGGGAAUCUUGCGCAAUGGGCGAAAGCCUGACGCAGCGACGCCGCGUGGGGGAUGAAGCAUCUCGGUGUGUAAACCCCUUUCGACUGGGACGAAUGCCUCGCAAGAGGAGUGACGGUACCAGUAGAAGAAGCCCCGGCUAACUACGUGCCAGCAGCCGCGGUAAGACGUAGGGGGCCAGCGUUGUUCGGAAUUACUGGGUGUAAAGGGUUCGUAGGCGGUGUGGCAAGUCGGGAGUGAAAUCUAUGGGCUUAACCCAUAGGCUGCUUCCGAAACUGCUGUGCUUGAGUGUGGGAGAGGCGCGUGGAAUUGCAGGUGUAGCGGUGAAAUGCGUAGAUAUCUGCAGGAACACCCGUGGCGAAAGCGGCGCGCUGGACCACAACUGACGCUGAGGAACGAAAGCUAGGGGAGCAAACAGGAUUAGAUACCCCGGUAGUCC